RNAcentral lists this ribosomal RNA (253 nucleotides) under uncultured bacterium. RNAcentral describes it as "partial 16S ribosomal RNA". It matches the Rfam family "Bacterial small subunit ribosomal RNA", at positions 524 to 776 of the family's 1533-position model. The record is from RNAcentral.
GACGGAGGAUGCAAGUGUUAUCCGGAAUCACUGGGCGUAAAGCGUCUGUAGGUUGUUAGACAAGUCAACUGUUAAAUCUUGGGGCUUAACUUCAAAAUUGCAGUCGAAACUGUUUGACUAGAGUAUAGUAGGGGUAAAGGGAAUUUCCAGUGGAGCGGUGAAAUGCGUAGAUAUUGGAAAGAACACCAAUGGCGAAGGCACUUUACUGGGCUAUUACUGACACUCAGAGACGCAAGCUAGGGUAGCAAAUGGG